GGAAUAUUGGGCAAUGGGGGGAACCCUGACCCAGCCAUGCCGCGUGAGGGAAGUAGGCCCUACGGGUCGUGAACCUCUUUUAUGUGGGGACAACGGCGUCGUCGUGAACGUCGCGUGCGGGUACCACAUGAAUAAGCAUCGGCUAACUCCGUGCCAGCAGCCGCGGUAAUACGGAGGAUGCGAGCGUUAUCCGGAUUCAUUGGGUUUAAAGGGUGCGCAGGCGGCCCGUUAAGUCAGCGGUGAAAGUCAGGGGCCCAACCCCGGAAGUGCCGUUGAUACUGUCGGGCUGGAAUGCGGUCGAGGCGGGCGGAAUGUGGUGUGUAGCGGUGAAAUGCAUAGAUAUGCCACAGAACGCCGAUAGCGAAGGCAGCUCGCCAGGCCUGCAUUGACGCUCGGGCACGAAAGCGUGGGGAUCAAACA
This 420-nucleotide ribosomal RNA is filed under the name uncultured bacterium. RNAcentral describes it as "bacterial SSU rRNA". It matches the Rfam family "Bacterial small subunit ribosomal RNA", at positions 358 to 774 of the family's 1533-position model. The record is from RNAcentral.